This 639-nucleotide ribosomal RNA is filed under the name uncultured bacterium. RNAcentral describes it as "bacterial SSU rRNA". It matches the Rfam family "Bacterial small subunit ribosomal RNA", at positions 806 to 1455 of the family's 1533-position model. The record is from RNAcentral.
ACGAUGGAUACUCGCUGCGGGCUAAAGAUUGUCCGUGGCUUAGUGAAAACGAUAAGUAUCCCACCUGGGGAGUACGCCGGCAACGGUGAAACUCAAAGGAAUUGACGGGGGCCCGCACAAGUGGUGGAGCAUGUGGUUUAAUUCGAUGAUACGCGAGGAACCUUACCUAGGCUAGAAUGCGCGUGACCGGCUCAGAGAUGAGCCUUUCCUUCGGGACACAAAGCAAGGUGCUGCAUGGCCGUCGUCAGCUCGUGCCGUGAGGUGUUGGGUUAAGUCCCGCAACGAGCGCAACCCCUAUGGUUAGUUGCCAGCACGUAAUGGUGGGGACUCUAGCCAGACUGCCUGCGCAAGCAGUGAGGAAGGCGGGGACGACGUCAGGUCAUCAUGGCCCUUACGCCUAGGGCGACACACGUGCUACAAUGGACGGUACAGCGGGUAGCUACCAGGCGACUGGAUGCCAAUCUCGAAAAGCCGUUCUCAGUUCGGAUUGGAGUCUGCAACUCGACUCCAUGAAGCUGGAAUCACUAGUAAUCGCGCAUCAGCCAUGGCGCGGUGAAUACGUUCCCGGGCCUUGUACACACCGCCCGUCAAGCCAUGAAAGUCUGGUAGACCUGAAGCUGGUGCUCGUCACAGAAGCCA